This 374-nucleotide ribosomal RNA is filed under the name uncultured bacterium. Its description in RNAcentral is "bacterial SSU rRNA". It matches the Rfam family "Bacterial small subunit ribosomal RNA", at positions 524 to 898 of the family's 1533-position model. The record is from RNAcentral.
UACGUAGGGAGCAAGCGUUGUCCGGAAUUAUUGGGCGUAAAGGGUGCGUAGGCGGCUUUGCAAGUCAGAUGUGAAAUCCCCGGGCUUAACUCGGGUAUUGCAUUUGAAACUGUAAAGCUUGAGUAAAGAAGAGGUAAGUGGAAUUCCUAGUGUAGCGGUGGAAUGCGUAGAUAUUAGGAGGAACACCAGUGGCGAAGGCGACUUACUGGUCUUUUACUGACGCUGAGGCACGAAAGCGUGGGGAGCAAACAGGAUUAGAUACCCUGGUAGUCCACGCUGUAAACGAUGGAUACUAGGUGUGGGGGAGAUACAACCUCUGUGCCGGAGCUAACGCAAUAAGUAUCCCGCCUGGGGAGUACGGUCGCAAGACUGAA